GCUCCGGUGGCCUAGUGGUUAAAGUGUCCACCUUAAAUGCGGGAGGUAUUGGGUUCGAUCCCAGGUUGAGUCA
Non-coding RNA from Potamilus streckersoni, 73 nucleotides. NCBI's taxonomy places the organism in Eukaryota, Metazoa, Mollusca, Bivalvia, Unionida, Unionidae. The record is from the annotation of a GenBank genome assembly.